CGUGAGUGAUGAAGGCCUUCGGGUUGUAAACUCUUUCGCGCACGACGAUAAUGACGGUAGUGCGAGAAGAAGCUCCGGCUAACUUCGUGC
This 90-nucleotide ribosomal RNA is filed under the name uncultured bacterium. RNAcentral's name for it is "partial 16S ribosomal RNA". It matches the Rfam family "Bacterial small subunit ribosomal RNA", at positions 400 to 508 of the family's 1533-position model. The record is from RNAcentral.